This 253-nucleotide ribosomal RNA is filed under the name uncultured bacterium. Its description in RNAcentral is "partial 16S ribosomal RNA". It matches the Rfam family "Bacterial small subunit ribosomal RNA", at positions 524 to 776 of the family's 1533-position model. The record is from RNAcentral.
UACGUAGGGUGCGAGCGUUGUCCGGAAUUACUGGGCGUAAAGAGCUUGUAGGUGGUUUGUCGCGUUGUUCGUGAAAUCUCACGGCUUAACUGUGAGCGUGCGGGCGAUACGGGCAGACUAGAGUACUGCAGGGGAGACUGGAAUUCCUGGUGUAGCGGUGGAAUGCGCAGAUAUCAGGAGGAACACCGGUGGCGAAGGCGGGUCUCUGGGCAGUAACUGACGCUGAGGAGCGAAAGCGUGGGGAGCAAACAGG